Molecule: long non-coding RNA, 1567 nt
Organism: Taeniopygia guttata (zebra finch)
Lineage: Eukaryota; Metazoa; Chordata; Aves; Passeriformes; Estrildidae
Source: Ensembl
UCUGCUCCAGACCCCCAUCCAUUUCUUCUCCAUUGCUAGGGGCCAGAUUUCCAAAGAAAGAGGUGCCACCACCAAGCUGAUAGGAGCUGUCUCCCUUCCUUCCCUGGAGUAUUUGUACAGCCACCAUCUGCUGUAAACAUGCCCUGCAGCGUAGUCACCAUUCUGGAAGGAGAAACAUGAAAGAACUUGAAGCUCUUGGAGUGAAACAGUGCAAAGCACCUGCAUGAGGUACCAGUGGUCACCUCUGAAACAGCUCCCUUGGAGUCACCACGUGUUGCCAUCACUAGACGGGGACAUCUCCCAAGCUUUGGAGCAGGCUUGGCUGUGGAUCCAGAAGAGGGCAAUGGUGACACAUCCUCACCGAGGCUCCAAGCACCACAUCUCCUGAGGGCAGCCACUGCAGGAAUGGAGCCAACAGCCAGACCACCUUGGCUAGUGGAUCUGCCUGUUCCUGGCUGUUCCGUGGCAAGCAGAUUGAAGUGGGAGGCAGCUUUCAGCUACUGUCUCAGCUUUUGUUCUGGUGCUGAAUGUGUUCUUUUCCCCAUGUGUCACUUCCAGAGGAAUACUGUGGAGAUGAAAUGCCAGUUGGUCAUCACAGGGCAUCUCACCUGUGGGGGCUGGAUGGAAACUCACAGGCUGGGGCCAUGCAGGGCCCAGGGACAAAUGGUGACUUCUGUCACUGCAGCAGCUCUCAGAAACACGGUGACACAGUGCCUGAGUACAUCAGUAGUAUGGGCAGAGCAGGUUGUGUGGGAUCAAUAAAACAAUGCCCAUUUUGUUGCUGUUUUGCAGCAAUGCUACGUAAUACUUGCUGAAAUCACUGGCUGGUCCAUUCAGCAGCUUUCAUUUCUGAUUAAGCUUUCCAGCCUGUAGGUAGCUUCUCUCACACCUGUCUUACCAUUUCCAUUUACAAGGGCUUAAUUUAGAAACCCAUUGUACUUGGGCCUGCACAGACCAAGCCAAUUUAUUUUACAUAAUGCCUCAGCACUUUAGGAAACAGUCUUGGUUUAAGUCCAUCCUAGAGGGAAGAAUGGACUUCUGCUUCAGGUUUUGGAUUGAGUUUUGAGAGAAAGAGACCCUGUUCUGAUAGUGUUCACAGAUUUACUGAGACCUUUUCCAAAUCACUUACCCUGCUUUGAACCUAACCUUUGAGUCUGGAAAAUAAUCAAUAUAACACUUAGCUCUGGUUUUAGGAUAAACAUAUCAAGGUGGCAUCAAAGCCCUUGUGUUCUGUGCUUUAGAAGCAGAAUAAAAAGCUGAUUUCUGUGCUGGGGGACUUCGGUGCAGAAGUGCAAGACGAGGACAAGAGGCAGGUGCGAGUCUGCUGAGAAGGGAUGGAACAAGGCAGAGCUGACAGGCAAAGAGGCGCUGGGCAUUGCUGCUGUCAGCUUUUCCAUCGCAUCUCAUCAGGGACGUGCAGGGAGAGAACGAAUCACUCCGUGGGCGUUCACGGGAAGCGGCCCCCGAGCACGGGACACGGGGGUUUGAGAAUCCUCGUGGGUGAUCUUCCCAGCAAACCUGGCCCGCAGGAGACGCCGUGAUAUGCCUGAAGGAGGCACAAACACCC